UAAUCUCAAUACAUUAGAAACAAAAAAGGAUAUAAUAUUAACCAUAAAAACACGAGGACCAUACGCUUUUCGUAUUUUUAUAAAUAGUCUACGUGAGUCAAACCAAGAAAUUUUUGCAGACAUAUUACAAGAGGUAGUUUAAAUACAAAAAUAUAUACAUAACAAUAUAAAAUACUAUCAAAUCAAUAGAGAGAAAAAGAGAAACAUUUUAACUAAAUCUCUUUUUACAGAGAUACCUAUCAGAAUGAUGGCAGGAAAAAUUCUGAUACUCUUGAUCUUAUACCUGACGUCAAUACAGGCUUUCAUUGGAUUUGAUUGCGGAACUAGUAUGCUUAAUAUAACUACAAUAUCACUUCUGGAAGUAGGAGAUUGCGACAUACCUGAACCUCAGGUACAUACAGAAUCACAAUAUAUUCAAUUAAUACAAAUAGCUGAUUUUACACUAACUAAAGUUAAACAAUGUAAAAUACAAAUAACUAGAACAAUUUCACAUUGUGGAAUGAGUUCUCAUAUUUCCGCAAUGGCCAAUGGAAUAAGCGAAUACAUACAAGAAGUUACUUUUGAACAAUGUAAAGGUUUACACUCAGGAGGCACAAUAAUUUUAGGACAAAGUGCUCAAAUUUCAGGCUUAAAAGUUAAUCAAACAACUUAUCAUAGCAUUUUAAUGGCAGGAUCAUUAGCAUUUGACGGAUCUUGUGACGGAACUCAAUAUUCAGACCCACUUGGAACAUGGAAUAACGUAAUUGUUCAAGCAGUAGUAAAAAUAACAGUAAAAGAAUAUUACGCAUCAGUUAACGUAAACACAAAUAAAAUUCAUCUGAAAUCAGGAGUUACAUGUCUUUUAUCAGACUUAAAUUGUUUUGAUUUAGAAGGUGGACAAACUUUUUUGGAUUCUGUACCCCAAGAUAUUUGUAAACUUAACAAAUACAAAGUAAUAUAUCAAGGAUACGCAAAUAAAACUAAAGAAAUAAACUCAAACAGUUCAGAAAUAUUAUACUCAUUAAAUACUGAUGAUAUAACAUUCGUACUUACUCAAAAAUCACAAACAGCGGUUUGUAGUUAUGGUAUGUAUCAUACAGAACAUCCUAAACUUUUAAUAAUUGAAACAACCCCAGAACGUGCAAUCAUUAAGGAUAGAGAAGUAACAGUUCAAAAUAUGGACCUAUUUACAUAUGUAAAUUCAAAAUUUGUCUAUACUGAAAAACAUAUUCGUACCCAAAUGAAACAAUUAUAUUAUGAUGUCCUAAUACAAAAAUAUGAGCUUGAACAAAAAGUAUUUAAAAAUUCAUUAACAUUAGCAUCUCAAUCCCCAGAUGAAUUCGCAUAUAACUUAAUGAACGGACCAGGCUAUACAUCUGUUAUUGCCGGUGAAGUAGUACAUAUAAUUAAAUGUGUCCCAGUAGAAGUUCAAUACCGUAAAACAGAAGAAUGUUUUCUACAUUUACCCAUUUUUAAAGGGAAUCACUCUAUGUUUCUUACACCUAAGACCCACAUAAUUAUUAGUAAAGGAACACAAACAAAUUGUAAUUCAUUUAUUCCCUUAAUGUAUUUCUUAGGAGAAACAUGGUAUAAAAUAAUACCAAACCCUGUCGAAUCAGUACCCCCCACUAUUAUGAAACCUUCAACACAACAUACGUGGCAUUAUACUAACCCUUCAUCUUUAGCAACAAGCGGAAUUUAUUCUCAAGCAGAUUUAAGUAAAUUACAUAACCACAUAAUGUUUUCGGCGGAAAAACCAAUGGUUUUGAGUAAUUUAGCACGCACUAUAACCGGACAGAUAAUAUUAUCAUAAUUAUGAUUAGAACAAUCAAACUGCUCAUCGACACUAUAAUUCACGGUUACACACUUUAUACUGUAUUUGGAUGGUCUUUUCAAUUACUAGGAUGCAUAUGGGAUUCAGUAACUAAUUUACUUUUACAUUUAGGAAAACCAGAAGUACCACAGAAACCAGAUACACAAUAUACACAACAAAUCAGAGUUCCAGAAGAAGAAGAAGAAGAAAAAGAUCCAACAAAACAAAAACAAGCAUGUCAAACACUACAGAUAAAACAGCAACUAUGUCUACAAUUCCAUGUAUAACAGAAAUAUACAGUAAUGUAUCCUUCAGAGAAUUUGAACCACCCACCGGACAACAAAAUAUCGUAGAACUUUUGCAAUUUUUCGUCUUUGAAUUUGAACUUCCCUUACCAAAAAUUUCUUUGACAAUAGAAAAAAGAAGAAAUUUUUUGCCAUUAUUUAGGGUUUGCAUUUAUUUAUUUAUUUGGAACAUAAAGGGACAUGCCCUUUCGUACAAAAGUACUUCUAAAAAGAUAACUAAUAUAAAAAUUCUAUAUUUUCUAGUUCAACUGUCAAUCCUACUGCAUGUACGGAAUACAAAUAAUUAAUUUACAGGAAUAAAAGGAAAAUUUUUGGUAAAUUAACUCUUAUUUUUACUAAUACUCUUUCAUAACUCUACUUCUAACAUUUCUUUAAAAAAAAAAAUAAAUAAUUAAAAAAUUAAAAAAAUAAAUAAAUAAAUAAUAAUAAUAAUAAAUAAAUUUUUUUUUUUUAAUAAAAACAUGAUAAAAUAAAUAAACACUUACCUAC
This is an RNA transcript of Leptopilina boulardi, 2586 nucleotides long. RefSeq lists it as uncharacterized. The record is from RefSeq and is a predicted model, not a curated record. The transcript is spliced from 2 exons. Lineage: Eukaryota; Metazoa; Arthropoda; Insecta; Hymenoptera; Figitidae.